Molecule: ribosomal RNA, 255 nt
Filed under: uncultured bacterium
Lineage: Bacteria
Description: partial 16S ribosomal RNA
Rfam family: Bacterial small subunit ribosomal RNA
Source: RNAcentral
CGAAGGGUGCAAGCGUUAAUCGGAAUUACUGGGCGUAAAGCGCGCGUAGGUGGUUCGUUAAGUUGGAUGUGAAAGCCCCCGGGCUCAACCUGGGAACUGCAUCCAAAACUAGGCGAGCUAGAGUACGGUAGAGGGUGGUGGAAUUCCUGUGUAGCGGUGAAAUGCGUAGAUAUAGGAAGGAACACCAGUGGCGAAGGCGACCACCUGGACUGAUACUGACACUGAGGUGCGAAAGCGUGGGGAGCAAACAGGAUU